ACUGAAAAUGUUUCGACGGGCUCACAUCACCCCAUAAACA
This 40-nucleotide transfer RNA is filed under the name Gorilla gorilla (western gorilla). Its description in RNAcentral is "tRNA-Phe". The record is from RNAcentral. Lineage: Eukaryota; Metazoa; Chordata; Mammalia; Primates; Hominidae.